RNAcentral lists this ribosomal RNA (492 nucleotides) under uncultured bacterium. RNAcentral's name for it is "partial 16S ribosomal RNA". It matches the Rfam family "Bacterial small subunit ribosomal RNA", at positions 29 to 507 of the family's 1533-position model. The record is from RNAcentral.
AGUGAACGCUGGCGGUAGGCCUAACACAUGCAAGUCGAACGGCAGCACAGUAAGAGCUUGCUCUUACGGGUGGCGAGUGGCGGACGGGUGAGGAAUACAUCGGAAUCUACUUUUUCGUGGGGGAUAACGUAGGGAAACUUACGCUAAUACCGCAUACGACCUACGGGUGAAAGCAGGGGAUCUUCGGACCUUGCGCGAUUGAAUGAGCCGAUGUCGGAUUAGCUAGUUGGCGGGGUAAAGGCCCACCAAGGCGACGAUCCGUAGCUGGUCUGAGAGGAUGAUCAGCCACACUGGAACUGAGACACGGUCCAGACUCCUACGGGAGGCAGCAGUAGGGAAUAUUGGACAAUGGGCGCAAGCCUGAUCCAGCCAUGCCGCGUGGGUGAAGAAGGCCUUCGGGUUGUAAAGCCCUGUUAUUGGGAAAGAAAAGCAGCAGGUUAAUACCCCGCUGUUCUGACGGUACCCAAAGAAUAAGCACCGGCUAACUUCGUG